RNAcentral lists this ribosomal RNA (606 nucleotides) under uncultured bacterium. Its description in RNAcentral is "bacterial SSU rRNA". It matches the Rfam family "Bacterial small subunit ribosomal RNA", at positions 896 to 1506 of the family's 1533-position model. The record is from RNAcentral.
AAAACUCAAGGGAAUUGACGGGGGCCCACACAACCGGUGGAGCACGUGGUUUAAUUCGAUGAUAAGCGAAGAACCUUACCAGGGCUUGACCUAGCGGUAGUAGGAUCCUGAAAGGGAAACGACCUCAAGCUUUGCUUGAGGAGCCGUGGCAGGUAUUGCAUGGCUGUCGUCAGCUCGUGUCGUGGGACGUUGGGUUAAGUCCCGUAACGAGCGCAACCCCUGCUCUUAAUUGCCAGCGGGUAAUGCCGGGUACUAUAAGGGGACUGCCGGAGAAUAUCCGGAGGAAGGAGGGGAUGACGUCAAGUCAUUAUGAUCCUUAUGCUCUGGGCGACACACGUGCUACAAUGGGCACUACAAUGAGGAGCAAGUCUGCAAGGACGAGCAAAUCUCAAAAAGGUGCCCCCAGUGCGGAUUGGGGUCUGCAACCCGACCCCAUGAAGAUGGAAUCGGUAGUAAUCGCGGGUCAGCCAUACCGCGGUGAAUAUGUACUUGGGCCUUGUACACACCGCCCGUCACACCAAUCGAGUAGGCGACACCCGAAGUCGACGUAUGUUGCCGAAGGUGUUACCUGCAAGAGGGGUGAAGUCGUAACAAGGUAGCCGUAGA